Macaca fascicularis (crab-eating macaque) is the source of this 301-nucleotide unclassified non-coding RNA. It matches the Rfam family "Metazoan signal recognition particle RNA". From Rfam's summary of the family: The signal recognition particle (SRP) is a universally conserved ribonucleoprotein. It is involved in the co-translational targeting of proteins to membranes. The record is from Ensembl. NCBI's taxonomy places the organism in Eukaryota, Metazoa, Chordata, Mammalia, Primates, Cercopithecidae.
GCAGGGCGAGGUGGCAUGUGCCUGUAAGUCCCAACUACUCGGGAGGCUGAGGCAGGGGAAUCACUUGAGUCCAGAAGUUCUGGGCUAUAGUGCACUAUGUCAAUCAGGUGUCUGCACUAAGUUCAGCAUCAACAUCAUGACCUCCAGAGAGUGGGGGACCACCAGGUUACCUAAGCAGUGGUGAACCAUUUCAGGCUGGAAAUGGAACAGGUCAAAAAUCUCAUGCUGAUCUGUAGUGGAAUCAUGCCUGUGAAAAGUCACUGCACACGAGCCUGGGCAAUAUAGCAAGAUCUUGUCUCUU